RNAcentral lists this ribosomal RNA (460 nucleotides) under uncultured bacterium. RNAcentral's name for it is "partial 16S ribosomal RNA". It matches the Rfam family "Bacterial small subunit ribosomal RNA", at positions 338 to 795 of the family's 1533-position model. The record is from RNAcentral.
CCUACGAGUGGCAGCAGUGAGGAAUAUUGGUCAAUGGGCGGGAGCCUGAACCAGCCAAGUCGCGUGAGGGAAGACGGUCCUAUGGAUUGUAAACCUCGUUAGGCGGGGAGCAAUGCCGGGCACGUGUGCCCGGAGGGAGAGUACCCGCAGUAUAAGCAUCGGCUAACUCCGUGCCAGCAGACGCGGUAAUACGGAGGAUGCGAGAGUUAUCCGGAUUUAAUGGGGUUAAAGGGUGCGUAGGCGGAUUUUGAAGUUAGCGGUAAAAUGUCCGGGCUCAACCCGGGCCGGCCGUUGAAACUGGGGAUCUAGAGUGGGCGAGAGGUAUGCGGAAUGCGUGGUGUAGCGGUGAAAUGCAUAGAUAGCACGCAGAACUCCGAUUGCGAAGGCAGCAUACCGGCGCCCGACUGACGCUGAGGCACGAAAGCGUGGGGAUCGAACAGGAUUAGAUACCCUUGUAGUC